Molecule: transfer RNA, 68 nt
Filed under: Desmognathus fuscus (dusky salamander)
Lineage: Eukaryota; Metazoa; Chordata; Amphibia; Caudata; Plethodontidae
Description: tRNA-Trp
Source: RNAcentral
AAAGAUUUAAGUUAUAGACUAAAAGCCUUCAAAGCUUAAAGAAAGAAUUAAAUUUCUUAAUCUUUGAU